This 253-nucleotide ribosomal RNA is filed under the name uncultured bacterium. Its description in RNAcentral is "partial 16S ribosomal RNA". It matches the Rfam family "Bacterial small subunit ribosomal RNA", at positions 524 to 776 of the family's 1533-position model. The record is from RNAcentral.
UACGUAGGGUGCGAGCGUUAAUCGGAAUUACUGGGCGUAAAGCGUGCGCAGGCGGUUCUGUAAGCCGGAUGUGAAAUCCCCGGGCUUAACCUGGGAAUGGCAUUCGGGACUGCAAGGCUGGAGUGCGGCAGAGGAGACUGGAAUUCCUGGUGUAGCAGUGAAAUGCGUAGAUAUCAGGAGGAACACCGAUGGCGAAGGCAGGUCUCUGGGCUGACACUGACGCUCAUGCACGAAAGCGUGGGGAGCAAACAGG